Xiphophorus maculatus (southern platyfish) is the source of this 958-nucleotide long non-coding RNA. RefSeq lists it as uncharacterized. The transcript is spliced from 2 exons. NCBI's taxonomy places the organism in Eukaryota, Metazoa, Chordata, Actinopteri, Cyprinodontiformes, Poeciliidae. The record is from RefSeq and is a predicted model, not a curated record.
AGCAAGCCUCGAUACGCGCUUUACGGAAACGCCCCCUCCAUUACUCGACACACGCCUCGAAGCCUCGGCACAACACGUAACAUCACUACCAUGAACACUGUUGUGUUCCACGGUGCACAGCGUCUUCUAAAUAUAACAGUCGUUUAAGUUUUUAUGGAUUUCCAAGCGAUCCUGACUUACAAAGACGAUGGCUUGUCAAUAUUCGUCGCGACAACUUCAAGCUAACAUCGCAUAGCAAAGUUUGCAGCCUUCACUUCCCUCCGGAUCAGUUUCAUCAGCCUAAAACUCCUGGCGGGAGAAGAAUGGUUAAAAAAAGGAGCCGUCCCUGUGUUAUUUCAAUGGAACAACUUCUGUGUUCAGCCUGGAAGAGCCAGUGUAUGGGAAAGAGUGAGCAGACCAGAGCCGGACAGCGGCGCAACUGAUCCGCCUGUGGAAUGCACGUAUGCAGAUCACGAUUAUUGCUCUGUCCCAGAACCAGCUGGCCUGGACAUGGUAAUAAAUGAAAACCAGAAAUUAAAAGAAGAAAUAAAAGCCCUAACAAGCCAGAUCGAAGAACUGAAAAUCCAUUCUACCUUCGGAUUACAAAGGUUCGCAGCGUCUGAUGAUGACAUCCGAUUUUACACGAGGAAGGCGGAGCCUUUCUCCAGAGCUGAUUGGACGAGAGGCCUGGCCCACCCUGGACAGAUCACCAGGACAACAAAGGACAACACAAAAACAACCAGGGCAAACAUCCAUGCACAAACACACUCUUUGUAACAUGCAUGGGGAGAACAUGCAGCUCCAUGCAGAAAAACAUUCAGGACUGCCCCCCUCCAUUUAUGGUAUUUCAAAGUAAAACAUUAAUAAAAAGACAAAACAUACCAGGUAUCUUCUUCCACAUUUGAUUUUAUUAUAUGAAGUGUUUGAUUUUUUGUGUUUUACUGUUGUGUAUAGAACCAAAGACGCAACGUUUCUGUGG